GCCACGCUUGAGGUCCGGGACCUCAACGAAGACAUGGCUAUCUCAGCCAUGAAGCGGGGGCUGAGGGCAUCCCGAUUCACCUACUCUCUGGACAAGACCCUCCCCCGGACGUACGCCGAGCUACUGGAGCGCGCAUACAAGUACAUGCGCGCGGAUGAAGGAGCUUCCGACCGACGCUUGGCCGAGCCCAGAGGCCCGAAGGAGAAGCAGAGGAAGGGUCGGGAACCCGC
Molecule: long non-coding RNA, 230 nt
Filed under: Elaeis guineensis (African oil palm)
Lineage: Eukaryota; Viridiplantae; Streptophyta; Magnoliopsida; Arecales; Arecaceae
Description: long non-coding RNA (EGUI_LNC001405)
Source: RNAcentral